This 253-nucleotide ribosomal RNA is filed under the name uncultured bacterium. Its description in RNAcentral is "partial 16S ribosomal RNA". It matches the Rfam family "Bacterial small subunit ribosomal RNA", at positions 524 to 776 of the family's 1533-position model. The record is from RNAcentral.
UACGUAGGGUGCAAGCGUUAAUCGGAAUUACUGGGCGUAAAGCGUGCGCAGGCGGCUUUGAAAGACAGAUGUGAAAUCCCCGGGCUUAACCUGGGAACUGCAUUUGUGACUGCAUGGCUAGAGUGCGGCAGAGGGGGAUGGAAUUCCGCGUGUAGCAGUGAAAUGCGUAGAUAUGCGGAGGAACACCGAUGGCGAAGGCAAUCCCCUGGGCCUGCACUGACGCUCAUGCACGAAAGCGUGGGGAGCAAACAGG